GGGUCGCUAGCUCAAUUGGCAGAGCUCCGGACUUUUAAUCCGUAGGUUGUGGGUUCGAGUCCCACGCGACCCAC
This 74-nucleotide transfer RNA is filed under the name Mycobacterium tuberculosis. RNAcentral's name for it is "tRNA-Lys(ttt)". It matches the Rfam family "tRNA". From Rfam's summary of the family: Transfer RNA (tRNA) molecules are approximately 80 nucleotides in length. Their secondary structure includes four short double-helical elements and three loops (D, anti-codon, and T loops). Lineage: Bacteria; Bacillati; Actinomycetota; Actinomycetes; Mycobacteriales; Mycobacteriaceae. The record is from RNAcentral. RNAcentral also lists the same sequence under 1 other name.